Molecule: long non-coding RNA, 1247 nt
Filed under: Aquila chrysaetos chrysaetos
Lineage: Eukaryota; Metazoa; Chordata; Aves; Accipitriformes; Accipitridae
Description: lncRNA (ENSACCG00020001238.1)
Source: RNAcentral
UUUGAAAAAUCACCGUUUAUUAUUUGAGAAAUUCACCUUUACUUGGCUAGCAGAACUUUUUUGGACAACCUGCACAUGAAAUCGCCAGAACUAGCAGAAGCCCAGCGUAAGGCAAAGUUCUCCUUUGCUCUGUCAUUUCUUUUACAUUCCAGCCAGGGUCCUGAGUUUAACAACUUCAUAAAGAUGUGCCAAUUUUGCCAGUAGCUCUGUUUCCUUACUGAGAUAAAGCCAAAUAAAGUAGGUGUGCUCCAUCCUUCCCACCCUAGGAAUUACUGUUUCUGAGUCCUUAAGAUGUUCCAUGGGAACACUGUUUUCAUUUUGUUUCUCAAGAAAAGCACUUUUUGCUAUGAAGAAUGAAGUCGAGUUUGAAUGUUUUCAGCUGUUGCAGCAUGCAUCACGAGGAAGUGACUUGGCCGGUCACCAGUAGACAUCUACUGAUCUCCACUCACCCCAGGAAGAGUGAAGGCUGCAGAGACACAUGAAUAAUACCUUACUUGAAACAAGUGCUGUACAACACGAAGGAGAGUGAGCUGUCAGUGGUGGAAAUACCUUCCGAUUUCAAGAGAUCUUUUGCACUUUGCCCCUGCCCUCUCUGGAACGACGCCAGCACCGCUCAAGCAGCGUGUGCCACCAGCCCUGACUUACUCGGAGGUCUCCGAGAGCAGAAAACCUCUGAGAAACUCAGUCCUCUGAGGAAAUUAUUGGGUCUUACGAGACUGUGGGAAAGCGUUCUCGUAAAACAGUGUUCAUGGAAAGAAAACUGUGUUGAAACCGUCUCAGCAAAACGGACCUUUUUUCUCAUUCCCUGAUUUCAAAGAAAGUGAGCAAGGUUUGUGGUGCCAGAUGUGAACUAUUUUUUUAUUCUUUUUCUUACCCAUCUUGGCUUAUGGCGGUCACAAACUGACCAGGAUACUUCUUUGUACUGCUUUUGUUAAUUUUUAUUUUCCAAGUAAAUUUUGUCACCUCAGAUGCUUUGUGGGAAAAGCUAAUACACUAUGUUGGCUUUUUUUCUGCUGUGAUGGGAAAAAAAAGGAAAAUGUGAACACGGAGCUUCAUAUGCUAGAGAUGGUAAUUUUUCCUUGCUGGGUAGUAUGUGUGUCUCGGUGCUGGACUGGAAUUAUCGGAUCAUUGCUUCAGAGUGUCCAAGGGAACAAGGAGUUGCAUUUGCUAUAGCAAUAUGCUUCCUAAAACAAGCUCUGUUCCAAUGUUGACUAAAAUUUGUUUGUUUGCAUUAGUCUAUUUUUAAA